AAAGUCCUUGUCAGGUAAGGAUUAGCCAUCCACCUGUACCGAGUGUUGCGUGAUUGGGAAGGAUAGAUAUACCAUCGAACGACCCACACGAAGCGUACACAGGGAAUCAUAUAGGCCACA
Molecule: non-coding RNA, 120 nt
Organism: Candidatus Magnetoglobus multicellularis str. Araruama
Lineage: Bacteria; Pseudomonadati; Thermodesulfobacteriota; Desulfobacteria; Desulfobacterales; Desulfobacteraceae
Source: Rfam